AUUGAACGCUGGCGGCAUGCCUUACACAUGCAAGUCGAACGGUAACAGGUCUUCGGAUGCUGACGAGUGGCGAACGGGUGAGUAAUACAUCGGAACGCGCCCAGACGUGGGGGAUAACGAGGCGAAAGCUUUGCUAAUACCGCAUACGAUCUAAGGAUGAAAGCAGGGGACCGCAAGGCCUUGCGCGUUUGGAGCGGCCGAUGGCAGAUUAGGUAGUUGGUGGGAUAAAAGCUUACCAAGCCGACGAUCUGUAGCUGGUCUGAGAGGACGACCAGCCACACUGGGACUGAGACACGGCCCAGACUCCUACGGGAGGCAGCAGUGGGGAAUUUUGGACAAUGGGCGAAAGCCUGAUCCAGCAAUGCCGCGUGCAGGAUGAAGGCCUUCGGGUUGUAAACUGCUUUUGUACGGAACGAAAAGGCUCUGGCUAAUACCUGGGGCACAUGACGGUACCGUAAGAAUAAGCACCGGCUAACUACGUG
RNAcentral lists this ribosomal RNA (482 nucleotides) under uncultured bacterium. RNAcentral describes it as "partial 16S ribosomal RNA". It matches the Rfam family "Bacterial small subunit ribosomal RNA", at positions 30 to 507 of the family's 1533-position model. The record is from RNAcentral.